AGUGAACGCUGGCGGUAGGCCUAACACAUGCAAGUCGAACGGCAGCACAGUAAGAGCUUGCUCUUACGGGUGGCGAGUGGCGGACGGGUGAGGAAUACAUCGGAAUCUACUUUUUCGUGGGGGAUAACGUAGGGAAACUUACGCUAAUACCGCAUACGACCUACGGGUGAAAGCAGGGGAUCUUCGGACCUUGCGCGAUUGAAUGAGCCGAUGUCGGAUUAGCUAGUUGGCGGGGUAAAGGCCCACCAAGGCGACGAUCCGUAGCUGGCCUGAGAGGAUGAUCAGCCACACUGGAACUGAGACAAGGUCCAGACUCCUACGGGAGGCAGCAGUGGGGAAUAUUGGACAAUGGGCGCAAGCCUGAUCCAGCCAUACCGCGUGGGUGAAGAAGGCCUUCGGGUUGUAAAGCCCUUUUGUUGGGAAAGAAAAGCAGCAGGUUAAUACCCCGCUGUUCUGACGGUACCCAAAGAAUAAGCACCGGCUAACUUCGUG
RNAcentral lists this ribosomal RNA (492 nucleotides) under uncultured bacterium. RNAcentral describes it as "partial 16S ribosomal RNA". It matches the Rfam family "Bacterial small subunit ribosomal RNA", at positions 29 to 507 of the family's 1533-position model. The record is from RNAcentral.